UUGACUGAUUUGAUACAGCUCACUCAGAGAGGCCCGGCGGCGCGAGGUCAGGGUUCUGGGGGGUGCCGCCGGCGGGGCGCGCCCGCCGAGGCAACGUUUAGGGGUAGCGUUCGCGAUGGUGCGGGAGUCUCUCAACUCGGUAAUGAUCCCUCCGCUGGUUCACCAACGGAGA
Molecule: unclassified non-coding RNA, 172 nt
Filed under: uncultured fungus
Lineage: Eukaryota; Fungi
Description: sequence contains ITS1
Source: RNAcentral